Molecule: transfer RNA, 76 nt
Filed under: Chitinophagaceae bacterium
Lineage: Bacteria; Pseudomonadati; Bacteroidota; Chitinophagia; Chitinophagales; Chitinophagaceae
Description: tRNA-Lys
Rfam family: tRNA
About the family: Transfer RNA (tRNA) molecules are approximately 80 nucleotides in length. Their secondary structure includes four short double-helical elements and three loops (D, anti-codon, and T loops).
Source: RNAcentral
UGGCCCGUAGCUUAACCGGCAGAGUACGUGACUCUUAAUCACGGGGUUGUGGGUUCGAAUCCCACCGGGCCAACGA